RNAcentral lists this ribosomal RNA (818 nucleotides) under uncultured bacterium. RNAcentral describes it as "bacterial SSU rRNA". It matches the Rfam family "Bacterial small subunit ribosomal RNA", at positions 61 to 890 of the family's 1533-position model. The record is from RNAcentral.
GUCGAACGGACUCAUAUUGAAACCUAGUGAUUUAUGAGUUAGUGGCGGACGGGUGAGUAACGCGUGGAUAACCUGCCGUAUACCGGGGGAUAACACUUAGAAAUAGGUGCUAAUACCGCAUAAGCGCACGGCUCCGCAUGGGGCAGUGUGAAAAACUCCGGUGGUAUACGAUGGAUCCGCGUCUGAUUAGCUAGUUGGCGGGGUAACGGCCCACCAAGGCAGCGAUCAGUAGCCGGCCUGAGAGGGUGGACGGCCACAUUGGGACUGAGACACGGCCCAAACUCCUACGGGAGGCAGCAGUGGGGAAUAUUGCACAAUGGGGGAAACCCUGAUGCAGCGACGCCGCGUGAGUGAAGAAGUAUCUCGGUACGUAAAGCUCUAUCAGCAGGGAAGAAAAUGACGGUACCUGACUAAGAAGCCCCGGCUAACUACGUGCCAGCAGCCGCGGUAAUACGUAGGGGCAAGCGUUAUCCGGAUUUACUGGGUGUAAAGGGAGCGUAGACGGCAGCACAAGUCUGGAGUGAAAUCCCGGGGCUUAACCCCGGAACUGCUUUGGAAACUGUGCGGCUGGAGUGCAGGAGGGGUAAGCGGAAUUCCUAGUGUAGCGGUGAAAUGCGUAGAUAUUAGGAGGAACACCGGUGGCGAAGGCGGCUUACUGGACUGUAACUGACGUUGAGGCUCGAAAGCGUGGGGAGCAAACAGGAUUAGAUACCCUGGUAGUCCACGCCGUAAACGAUGAUUACUAGGUGUCGGGGGACCAAGGUCCUCCGGUGCCGGCGCAAACGCAUUAAGUAAUCCACCUGGGGAGUACGUUCGCA